UCAUGACACCUGCUGGAUAAAGGAAGCAUGCGGAUCGUCCAUCCAUCCAUCCAUUUCCUACCGCUUGUCCCUUACGGGGUCGCGGGGGUGCUGGAGCCAUAAAUGUACACACAGAAAGGAAGCAGGAACAUCCACUUUUAGGGGAGAGGAUGGCGCCCCGGAGCUGUUUCGCCUGAUAAACUGUGAGAACUAUGGACAGGCCCCGUGCCGAGGAGUAACGGGAUGAGGUCACCGAUGAAGGCAAUGACAUCAUUUCCUUCACCUCGCUCAGUACACCAACGAAACGAGAAAGAAAUCCUACGACUGAUCCAUCGUCUUGUCGCCAUGGCGACCGGACAUGUUUGGAUGACGGAGCGGUGCCUUGUGGUGAAGUUGGGUGGAUCGUAUCCAGGGGUGGACCUGGCAGGACACACUCUCUGUCUGAGGCACAUCUGC
Molecule: long non-coding RNA, 435 nt
Organism: Nerophis lumbriciformis (worm pipefish)
Lineage: Eukaryota; Metazoa; Chordata; Actinopteri; Syngnathiformes; Syngnathidae
Source: RefSeq, a predicted model, not a curated record